GGCGAACGCUGGCGGCGUGCCUAAUACAUGCAAGUUGAGCGCUGAAGGUUGGUACUUGUACCAACUGGAUGAGCAGCGAACGGGUGAGUAACGCGUGGGGAAUCUGCCUUUGAGCGGGGGACAACAUUUGGAAACGAAUGCUAAUACCGCAUAAAAACUUUAAACACAAGUUUUAAGUUUGAAAGAUGCAAUUGCAUCACUCAAAGAUGAUCCCGCGUUGUAUUAGCUAGUUGGUGAGGUAAAGGCUCACCAAGGCGAUGAUACAUAGCCGACCUGAGAGGGUGAUCGGCCACAUUGGGACUGAGACACGGCCCAAACUCCUACGGGAGGCAGCAGUAGGGAAUCUUCGGCAAUGGACGAAAGUCUGACCGAGCAACGCCGCGUGAGUGAAGAAGGUUUUCGGAUCGUAAAACUCUGUUGGUAGAGAAGAACGUUGGUGAGAGUGGAAAGCGCAUCAAGUGACGGUAACUACCCAGAAAGGGACGGCUAACUACGU
RNAcentral lists this ribosomal RNA (496 nucleotides) under uncultured bacterium. RNAcentral describes it as "partial 16S ribosomal RNA". It matches the Rfam family "Bacterial small subunit ribosomal RNA", at positions 28 to 506 of the family's 1533-position model. The record is from RNAcentral.